UUGGAUGUAGGGCCUUCAUCAGGGGAGGGGGGGGGGAGAUCAAGAUGGGUCCCUACGGGAGGCAGCAGUGGGGAAUCCUACCGGGAGGCAGCAGUGGGGAAUCUUAGACAAUGGGCGCAAGCCUGAUCUAGCGAUGCCGCGUGAGUGAUGAAGGCCUUAGGGUCGUAAAGCUCUUUCGCCUGUGAAGAUAAUGACGGUAGCAGGUAAAGAAACCCCGGCUAACUCCGUGCCAGCAGCCGCGGUAAUACGGAGGGGGUUAGCGUUGUUCGGAAUUACUGGGCGUAAAGCGCACGUAGGCGGACUAGUCAGUCAGAGGUGAAAUCCCAGGGCUCAACCCUGGAACUGCCUUUGAUACUGCUAGUCUUGAGUUCGAGAGAGGUAAGUGGAAUUCCGAGUGUAGAGGUGAAAUUCGUAGAUAUUCGGAGGAACACCAGUGGCGAAGGCGGCUUACUGGCUCGAUACUGACGCUGAGGUGCGAAAGUGUGGGGAGCAAACAGGAUUAGAUACCCUGGUAGUCCACACCGUAAACGAUGAAUGCCAGACGUCGGGUAGCAUGCUAUUCGGUGUCACACCUAACGGAUUAAGCAUU
Molecule: ribosomal RNA, 589 nt
Filed under: uncultured marine bacterium
Lineage: Bacteria
Description: bacterial SSU rRNA
Rfam family: Bacterial small subunit ribosomal RNA
Source: RNAcentral